CCAAAGAUUAAGAAACCCGCGGUAGUAAUUAUUAUAAUAUUAUUAUCUUUGUAUGAAACUAAUAAUCAACAUCCAACACAAUCAACGGUAGCAGCAUGUACCUAUUAAUUUGUUUGGGUAGCAGUUGUGAGUUGUGACUUGUGUUUGUCAGUUAUUUUCUGUUGUUUUCAAAUUGAGAACUGAGAAGGCCUGCUUUAUGCGACGAGAGUAAAGAUCUUGUGAAUAUUAAUCGACUGUGGAUAUAUCUUGGAUAUUAUGUAAGUAGUUUACUUCAAAUAAUAUAUUUUACGUGUUAGCCUAACCAUGAACUUUUUAUUAAAUUUUAAGUGUUGAAAUGUUUUCCUUUCAUUUUAAACCAUGAAACUAAUCUAGCAAAGUACCUAUUAUUAAGGAAAAAGUAUGGAAUAAUUAACAAUACUUCUAAUCACUAUCAUUAUUUCCAGAUUACACCUACUGAUCAUAUUUGCCAUGCAUGCUGGCAACUUGCGUAUCAUGCAUCUACUGAAAAUAUGUCCAGCAGCAGCAGCGGUUGGCCAUCAUAAUAUCUGUGUUGUAUCAUGUGGAUUAUCCAUAGUAAUAGCAAAUCGAUGUAGAAUUUUAAUUGAAGGGACAAAUGAAGAACAACAAAGAGUGGCUUCUAUAGUAUCUUCUUGGAUUCAAGCAUGAGAGCUUUGGUCUCAAGAUGAAAAACCAGAAUAGUCCAAGUAAUUGAGGACUUUCAACCUGAAUAUAUGGAAUCAGCUUUAAUGUGUACUGUAUGUGGCCAGUCUGGACACCACAACUUCAGACUUAGAGUGGAAUCCUGAAAACAUUACUCGUUUGCUGGAGCAACAAGAGAUGUCAUCUUUGAAUGAAGUUUCUGGAGUUUGUUGGAACCAAUCUCGAGACAUAAGGUCAGAUAUUCCAGAAGCUGAUGAAAGAUCCCAACAAAAUAUAGUGUUGUUCAAUAUAAAAAGAGCAGCUGAAACACCAGGACAUUGCGUUUUUCAAGAAUGCAUGAAUCCUGAGCAAAAUGUUGUGCCUCGAGUUGCCUGUGCCUGUGUUGUGUUGUUGUGCUUUAAGCUAAAAAAAGUCCUGCCUUUUAACUGCCAACAAAAUAAGUUUUUCCAGAAGGAAAAACUUAUUUUGUAUUUAUUGUAACAGAAAGAAACAUGAAUGGUCAGGUCGCUAUCAAAAGCUAUUGCAUUGUAGGCUUAAGAACAGUGGGAUGCUGCUCACAUGUUUAUGAGCAUCAUUUGGUACCUAAGCUAUGCUCGCCAUGAGGGUACUCCUGCCCCUGCCCCUAUCUUAGAUAAAUAUAAUUGUAAUA
Molecule: long non-coding RNA, 1309 nt
Organism: Aricia agestis (brown argus)
Lineage: Eukaryota; Metazoa; Arthropoda; Insecta; Lepidoptera; Lycaenidae
Exons: 3
Source: RefSeq, a predicted model, not a curated record